GCUUUGCUGAAAUAGCUGGAGAAUGGGUCCCUGUCUCCUGCCACUUACUCGCCCUGCUCCUGGUGUACGGCACACCGCAUGUGCUAAAGUGGAUUUCUCAUCCUGCUCCAAGUUAGCCAAGAGCAUCUGUACAACCACUGGGAAGUCAACUUCACUUCAGAUCUCGCCUGCACCUCUCCACCUUAUGGUCUGCCCAGGAGCUAAUGGAUUUGGAGAUGUAGCAGACCUGGAGCUAAC
RNAcentral lists this long non-coding RNA (237 nucleotides) under Homo sapiens (human). RNAcentral's name for it is "non-protein coding lnc-RGMA-9:2". Lineage: Eukaryota; Metazoa; Chordata; Mammalia; Primates; Hominidae. The record is from RNAcentral.